GGGAAUGUGACUAUUGCUAAUAGGGUGUCUGUUGUUUUGUCCUUUGUUGUCCUGGUUUAGGAAAGGAUAAAAUCUUCCGAACUGCCUGCCAGUCCUGCUUGUUGCAUUCAGCUCCCAGCUUCUGUGUCACAAAAACCAUCUCACAAGACUUCAGCUACUUAACUCAGAAGCUAAGAGUGUCUACCUGAUGCGGAGCAAGAACGAAAUGGCACUAUUGACUCCUGUCCAUCUCAAAAUUCAUCUUUUCUUAAACAACAUCAAGGAGAGUGAGAUGCUUCAGCUUUCUUCAGUUUGAAAGAUGUUGUUGGGCUGCAGAGUAAAAGCAUUAUCUAAGUCUGACACAAGUCUGUAGAACUCCCAGAGCUGGGAUGUGAUGGCUCAGACUUUCAGGCAUGCUUCUUGUUGCCAACUUGAUGUGAGCACUGAGAACUUUGGGAAAUCCAACCUAUCUCUGCCCCAGCGGAGAGCCUGUGGAGUACCACUGAAAAGCAAUCAUGGAAGCGAACAUAAAUGUGCCCAUCUCUUUGUACACUUGAACUCCUAGCAGUUGAGGGAGAAACUUUUCUAAAAACACCUAACCUUGCCUCUUCAAUGAGAAAGCUCCCUUACUUCAUCGGUCCUCUCAGCAAGCAUGAGUAAGGACAUCAUAAAGCUACCUCACAGGUCAACAAAAAUAAGUCAACCUUGUGGGGCUUCUUCAUGCACUUUAAUAAUAGUAAUGGAGGAAAACCAGUCUUGAACCGAUGUUCCUAUCACAGUGACAUCAAAGCUUUCAGGCCUGAACUAUUGUAAUGCAAGAUGAUCCCUCAAAUUCCUCCAAAACAGUUUGUUAAGCAGGGAGGUAGCUGAGUAGACUACAGAGCCCAUUAAUACCACAGAAGUACAAAUAUACUCCUUGCAGCUACAUGGCUGCAAGUGAACUCAGAUCUGGGCAAAACUGUCUUUACAGUCCUGCUGCCUGUGGCAGGAUAACUCUCACAAAGGAGAGUCAGGCACACCUGGGAGCUCACUGUCACUGAAGUAAGAGAAGUCAAUGUUUAAUACCUUUUUUGACUCAGAAAUGUUGCAGCACUUUUCCAACACUUCUAAAGGCUAGGGGAGGUAAGAACUCCACAUGAGCACUUGCUGAUUGGACUUAAACAAGGGAAGAACAGAGUGAAACAGCCUUCUGGCUGUUAUUAGGGCCACAGACUGUAAUGCUAAAGAAAUGAUAAUCUAUGAAUGGGAUAAUGUUGAGCAGGGCUUGCAGCAACAGAAUGAAAGACUCUUUCUAGAUCUACAUCCCCAUUAGAAAUCUUGAAUUAGAAAGCUCACAAGCUAGUGACAAGCACAUAGGCAAGACAUGACCAAAAAGAAUGACAGCUCAUAAGCAAUUUAUAUACAGCUGGAGCAAAAUGCCAGAUGUGUCAUUGAAAAAUGUUUGCUUAGGAUCUGAGGGAAAGAUUUAUACUGUCAAGGGAGCUUCUUUGCCAGGCAAAUCAAGCGUAAUGAAGUUUUAAUUAAUCAUCCUGCAGUAGGGUAGAAAAAAGGAGGCCCCAGGUCAC
RNAcentral lists this long non-coding RNA (1544 nucleotides) under Chrysolophus pictus (golden pheasant). RNAcentral describes it as "lncRNA (ENSCPIG00010006241.1)". The record is from RNAcentral. Lineage: Eukaryota; Metazoa; Chordata; Aves; Galliformes; Phasianidae.